GUUUGAUAAAGCCUUUGCAAUAGUGACUGCAAUCGAUGACGUGAUGUCAUACAGAUUAAAGGUGUGAUAAAGCCUUUGCAAUCGUGCUGAUAUCGAUAUCAUCAUGGGUGGCUGAUACAUCACGCUUGCCAAUGAUUGUAUUACACAUACAAUUUAUCUGUAUUUUCUACUAAGUAUAUAAUAAAUAUAUAGAAAGGCUCUUUAUUUCUUUGAAAUUUGGGUGAAAGAUACUAAAGUGACUUUCAAACACAACAAUCGAAAAAUAAACUGACAACGCCAUGGCUAAAAAAGAAAAUGACAAGCAGACAAAUAAUGGAACACAAGCUUAAGA
Molecule: long non-coding RNA, 331 nt
Filed under: Mytilus galloprovincialis (Mediterranean mussel)
Lineage: Eukaryota; Metazoa; Mollusca; Bivalvia; Mytilida; Mytilidae
Source: RNAcentral